This 139-nucleotide ribosomal RNA is filed under the name uncultured bacterium. RNAcentral describes it as "partial 16S ribosomal RNA". It matches the Rfam family "Bacterial small subunit ribosomal RNA", at positions 355 to 509 of the family's 1533-position model. The record is from RNAcentral.
UGGGGAAUAUUGCACAAUGGGGGGAAACCCUGAUGCAGCGACGCCGCGUGAGCGAUGAAGUAUUUCGGUAUGUAAAGCUCUAUCAGCAGGGAAGAAUUAAGACGGUACCUGACUAAGAAGCACCGGCUAAAUACGUGCC